CAAGUCGAGCGGACAGAAGGGAGCUUGCUCCCGGAUGUAGCGGCGGACGGGUGAGUAACACGUGGGUAACCUGCCUGUAAGACUGGGAUAACUCCGGGAAACCGGAGCUAAUACCGGAUAGUUCCUUGAACCGCAUGGUUCAAGGAUGAAAGACGGUUUCGGCUGUCACUUACAGAUGGACCCGCGGCGCAUAGCUAGUUGGUGAGGUAACGGCUCACCAAGGCGACGAUGCGUAGCCGACCUGAGAGGGUGAUCGGCCACACUGGGACUGAGACACGGCCCAGACUCCUACGGGAGGCAGCAGUAGGGAAUCUUCCGCAAUGGACGAAAGUCUGACGGAGCAACGCCGCGUGAGUGAUGAAGGUUUUCGGAUCGUAAAGCUCUGUUGUUAGGGAAGAACAAGUGCAAGAGUAACUGCUUGCACCUUGACGGUACCUAACCAGAAAGCCACGGCUAACUACGUGCCAGCAGCCGCGGUAAUACGUAGGUGGCAAGCGUUGUCCGGAAUUAUUGGGCGUAAAGGGCUCGCAGGCGGUUUCUUAAGUCUGAUGUGAAAGCCCCCGGCUCAACCGGGGAGGGUCAUUGGAAACUGGGAAACUUGAGUGCAGAAGAGGAGAGUGGAAUUCCACGUGUAGCGGUGAAAUGCGUAGAGAUGUGGAGGAACACCAGUGGCGAAGGCGACUCUCUGGUCUGUAACUGACGCUGAGGAGCGAAAGCGUGGGGAGCGAACAGGAUUAGAUACCCUGGUAGUCCACGCCGUAAACGAUGAGUGCUAAGUGUUAGGGGGUUUCCGCCCCUUAGUGCUGCAGCUAACGCAUUAAGCACUCCGCCUGGGGAGUACGGUCGCAAGACUGAAACUCAAAGGAAUUGACGGGGGCCCGCACAAGCGGUGGAGCAUGUGGUUUAAUUCGAAGCAACGCGAAGAACCUUACCAGGUCUUGACAUCCUCUGACAACCCUAGAGAUAGGGCUUUCCCUUCGGGGACAGAGU
RNAcentral lists this ribosomal RNA (990 nucleotides) under Bacillus aerius. Its description in RNAcentral is "bacterial SSU rRNA". It matches the Rfam family "Bacterial small subunit ribosomal RNA", at positions 58 to 1032 of the family's 1533-position model. Lineage: Bacteria; Bacillati; Bacillota; Bacilli; Caryophanales; Bacillaceae. The record is from RNAcentral.